Molecule: long non-coding RNA, 328 nt
Organism: Mya arenaria
Lineage: Eukaryota; Metazoa; Mollusca; Bivalvia; Myida; Myidae
Exons: 3
Source: RefSeq, a predicted model, not a curated record
UAGAUGUUUGACAGUUGUUGAUCGGAUAGAAAUUGCGAAGAAUUAAUUCCUGUUGGAUUACCGAUUUAAUUACGACCAUGGAUUAUACCGGUACACAUAGCAGAGCUUGUCGCGUCAGCCAGACCAAGAGAUCACCCAAGGGACCGAAUCGCCCCAAUCGGAUAGCUCGACUGGCCACAACUGCAGUCCAAAUACCAGAAUGCAUCCAUGCCACCUGGUUUUUGACAUUACUGCUGUGGACAGAUUUUCAGCAAUGCAUGUAUUGCCAUGCUAUGUAUUACUGGAGGCAAUAGGUUUGGAAAUAAACCAGACUUUUGUCAAGGUUUCC